Molecule: RNase P RNA, 376 nt
Filed under: Salmonella enterica subsp. enterica serovar Adjame
Lineage: Bacteria; Pseudomonadati; Pseudomonadota; Gammaproteobacteria; Enterobacterales; Enterobacteriaceae
Description: RNase P RNA component class A
Rfam family: Bacterial RNase P class A
About the family: Ribonuclease P (RNase P) is a ubiquitous endoribonuclease, found in archaea, bacteria and eukarya as well as chloroplasts and mitochondria. Its best characterised activity is the generation of mature 5'-ends of tRNAs by cleaving the 5'-leader elements of precursor-tRNAs. Cellular RNase Ps are ribonucleoproteins.
Source: RNAcentral
GAAGCUGACCAGACAGUCGCCGCUUCGUCGUCGUCCUUUCGGGGAGACGGGCGGAGGGGAGGAAAGUCCGGGCUCCAUAGGGCAGGGUGCCAAGGUAACGCCUGGGGGGGAAACCCACGACCAGUGCAACAGAGAGCAAACCGCCGAUGGCCCACGUAAGUGGGAUCAGGUAAGGGUGAAAGGGUGCGGUAAGAGCGCACCGCGCGGCUGGUAACAGUCCGUGGCACGGUAAACUCCACCCGGAGCAAGGCCAAAUAGGGGUUCAUAAGGUACGGCCCGUACUGAACCCGGGUAGGCUGCUUGAGCCAGUGAGCGAUUGCUGGCCUAGAUGAAUGACUGUCCACGACAGAACCCGGCUUAUCGGUCAGUUUCACCU